ACGCACGCUGGCGGCGUGCUUCACCCCUGCCAGUCGCACGGAAAGGCCCUGCUUUUGUGGGGUGCUCGAGUGGCGAACGGGUAAGUAAUACGUGAGUAACCUGCCCUUGACUUUGGGAUAACUUCAGGAAACUGGGGCUAAUACCGGAUAGGAGCUCCUGCUGCAUGGUGGGGGUUGGAAAGUUUCGGCGGUUGGGGAUGGACUCGCGGCUUAUCAGCUUGUUGGUGGGGUAGUGGCUUACCAAGGCUUUGACGGGUAGCCGGCCUGAGAGGGUGACCGGCCACAUUGGGACUGAGAUACGGCCCAGACUCCUACGGGAGGCAGCAGUGGGGAAUAUUGCACAAUGGGCGGAAGCCUGAUGCAGCAACGCCGCGUGCGGGAUGACGGCCUUCGGGUUGUAAACCGCUUUCGCCUGUGACGAAGCGUGAGUGACGGUAAUGGGUAAAGAAGCACCGGCUAACUACGUG
RNAcentral lists this ribosomal RNA (467 nucleotides) under uncultured bacterium. Its description in RNAcentral is "partial 16S ribosomal RNA". It matches the Rfam family "Bacterial small subunit ribosomal RNA", at positions 29 to 507 of the family's 1533-position model. The record is from RNAcentral.